Molecule: long non-coding RNA, 5874 nt
Filed under: Brassica napus (rape)
Lineage: Eukaryota; Viridiplantae; Streptophyta; Magnoliopsida; Brassicales; Brassicaceae
Description: long non-coding RNA (BNAP_LNC011979)
Source: RNAcentral
CUCUCUCUCUCUCUCUUCCUCUCAGCAUCAUCAUCACCACCAAAUCGCCGCCAUGUUCAGACAAGCUUCUCGCCUCGUCUCCCGAUCUAUCACCGCCAAAUCGGCGACAAACCGUGCGUUUUCAACGGAAGUCCCGUCGACGAUCGAUUCGAGUUUCGUGGAGGCAUGGAAGAAAGUCGCACCGAACAUGGACCCGCCGCAGACUCCUUCUUCCUUCAUGAAGCCUCGUCCAUCGACUGCUUCCUCGAUUCCGACGAAGCUCACCGUCAAUUUCGUCCUCCCUUACGCAUCUGAGCUUUCCGGGAAAGAGGUCGGCUUUCAUUUUUCCUCGUUCGAUGUUCGCAUUUAGGUUUCUAGGGUUUGAUCUAUGACUCUGUGUGUUAUGGUUACAUAUUUGAUUGUUGUUUGAUUUCAUGAUAAGGUGGUUAAUUAGGUCUGAAGACUUUUGAUUUUUGGUUAGAUCUAACGGCGCUAAAGUUUAGGGUUUUGAUAGGCCAAAGCUGAAACUGGCGCAGUUGAUGUUUCGUUUAGUUUCUACAUAAUUGUUAAUAACAAGAUCAAGAACAAAAAAAAAAGCCUCACUUUUUAGUGAUUAAGAAUAACCUAAAUCUCCCUAAUUUCUCAGGUUUACCAUUUGUUGUCUCUGCAAAAUGUUGCUUGCUAUAAAUCCAUUAAAAUUUUAUUAAGAGUUUUGUUAUCUCUGCUCUGUUCAUAACCAAAUGAUCCUGGUGUGUUUUUUACGGUUUCUAAUACAAUGUGAUUGGCAAAUAAUGUUUGUUUCAUAUAUCUUGAAACUUUGAUGUUGACAAAUUAUAACUGCUGAUUUCUAAUGUGUUAAUUGGUUUUGUGAAGGUUAAUCUUUUCUCUUCUAUUGAUAUAUGAUGUGGUAUACAUAUAGACUGAAUCUCCAUGGCAAGUAGUAAUUUCUCAUUGGCUUAUUCUCAUAUGUUGGUGGUGCAUUCACUGUGAUAUCUCUUCUGUAGAAUAUACAUUCAGUACUGAAAGUUCUUAUCGUCCCUGACUUGCUUUCUGAUGCAUCCAUUGCUUAUAUCCGAGAACGUAAACCUAUUUCUUGAUUGGUUUGUUUUCUUGUAUAUAUUUAAUUAUAACUCAAAGCUUAUUGGCUUUUUCUCUUUUGUCUACUUCAAGGUCGACAUGGUCAUCAUUCCCGCGACAACAGGACAAAUGGGUGUUUUGCCUGGACACGUUCCAACAAUCGCUGAGCUCAAACCCGGUAUCAUGUCCGUCCACGAAGGUACUGACAUCAAGAAAUACUUUGUGAGCAGUGGAUUUGCAUUUCUCCACGCAAAUUCCGUUGCUGACAUUAUCGCGGUUGAGGCCGUGCCGCUUGAGAACAUCGACGCAAGCCAAGUCCAAAAGGGUUUAGCUGAGUUUACACAGAAACUUGCUUCUGCCACAACAGAUCUUGAGAAAGCAGAAGCACAGAUUGGUGUCGAAGUUCACAGUGCUAUGAACGCAGCUCUCUCGGGCUGAUGAUGAGUGAAAGUCUCUUUUUUACUACUACAAAUGAUGGAAUAAAUUAGAAAAUGAUUUUAUUUUUCCUUUUCGUAAUUGUGUUGGACUUUUUGGAAUAAAUGAUUUUGUUGAAGGCACAAACCAACAGAAAGUUAUUAUUCUUCUCGACUUAUGUUUGUUUUGAGAUUGAGAAACUAAGUUCCCGAAUUGAUUUAUGGUUUUCAUUUCCUAAAAUUCUUUUUUUCUCACUUUGGGCCAUUUUUGCAAUGUCACUUCAGAACGAUUAAAAAUUGUUGGUUUUUCUUGUUGAUUUUGAAACUCUCUCGAAGUGACAAUAUUAGUGUUUUACAGUGACCUAGAAAUAAUAUGAUUUUUAAAAUAUCGAACAACUCAUAUCAUGAUUAACAUAUCAUACUGUACGUAGGCUGGGACGGAUCCAGAUAUUCGGAAAAUUUAAUAUCCGGAUUUCGGAUAUCCGUCUCGAUAUUUUAUUACCCGCGGAUAUCCGGAUCCGUAAAAAUAAUUAAAAAUAAUAUUUUUUUUUAAAACUAAAAUUUUAAUAUAAUAUAUAAACCUGUUGGUACUGGUCGUGGAAGUUCAGUUGGGGGCCACCUUCCCCACCAACAAGCCACCCAGCAUAAUGUUGGAACUAUUGGCCCUAAUGUGAACUUCCCCCUUGAUAGUCCAAAUAGCCAGCCUUCACCUGGUGGUCCGCUAUCCCAACCUGGAUAUGUAAGUAUCGCCCUCAUCUCUUUUAAUUUUUUUCUUUCAUCUAGUAGUUUCUGAAGCAUUAGAGCUCGAUUGUUUUUGGUUGACUUUAAAUCAUCAUACGAUGUUGCCUUUUCAGGGAAGCCAAGCAUUCAGGGAUGGUUUUAUGGGCGGCAUUUCUCAGGUUGUCUUCUCGUUUUAUGUUACUUAGUGAUCAGGGGCAGUCUUUUCUACUUUUGUCUGUUAUUUAAUAUCUUCUAUGUCAAUACCACCAGGAUUUCUUAGGUGAUGAUUUCAAGAGCCAGGGAUCUCAUGUUCCUUACAACAUGGGCGACUAUUCUACACAGGUAGUUUCUCUUCUGCCUGCUUUAGUUAUUAGACAUGUAAAUACUUUGGAUAUAUGAUAGUAGGACUACGAUAAGAUGUCUUUGGAAAUGUAAAACCAAAAUUCCGAGGUUGGGCCAGAUAUAUAUAACCAUGUGUUGCAAAGUUGAUAGUUCUUGAAUUUCACAUAGGAAUUACUGACUGUUCAUGUUUUUUGUAUAUGUUCUUCGUUUCUGAGCCAUAUUUGUAUAUAAUUUCUUUGUAUGCCUCACAGGGAGGAUAUGCGGUUGAUUAUGCCACACAAGGAGCCCAUGGAGCUUUUCCUGGAAACUUUAUGAACCAAAAUUCUCAAGGGGGUUAUUCUCGUUUCAGUGGGAGUAAUGAUUUCAUGUCCCAGGUGUGUUUCACCUAGCCUUUCCUUUUAACACAGUUUUUUUUCCUUAAUUCCUAGACCUUCGUCUGAGUCCUCUAUUGUUGACACAGGAGUAUAUGGCGCAUGGAGCACAAGGUCUUUUCACCCAAGCUGGCUUUAUCGACUCAUCUCAGGAUGAUGGACAACAGAAUCCUUUUGGUGUGAACAAUCCUAAUCUUCAGUCUCAGGUUUGUCCUUAAUCCUAAUCCUUGAUAGUUCGUUUGCAUUAACGUUUACAAUUAACAAAAAAGGAGGAUUCUUAAGAUAGCGAAGGUUGUGUGUUUAUAUAGAGAGAAUUACACACUAAACAUUAACCCAAACUCAUACAAACAAUUGAGGCCUUUCGAGUUUGUGUUCACCAUAUUAAUCUUUGGUACUCAUGUUUCUUUUCAAAAGAUGCUAACGACUCUUCGUCUCACAGGGUCUCCCGAAUUCACUCUACUCGCAGCCUUUCUCACACUACACCCAGCCACUAAACCUUUCAGGCCCACAGCAAUCUCAACCUCCUAACCAAGGCUCACAAAACCCAAAACCUCCUCACAACGGCUAAAGAUGACACAUGCAGAAGCUGAAUGCAAACGGGUUUGUAAACCUUUUUUUUUGCAAAUUCAGCAGUUUGGUAUCAUGCUAUCACGGCUCCAAACAAACAUCUGGUGGCUUCUCGGGGUGCUUGCAAGUUACGUGCCUUUCUGGCUCGCUUAGCAACAGGUAAUGAUGAUGCAGAGAGACAUGUACCUAAGUAACCCGAGGAGAUUCUUGGUCCAUACAUCCUCUGGGCUUAUAUAAAUGUUUGGUUUUGCCGUGUAAUAUUAUAAUAUCAUCCUCUUAUUGUAGUUUAUAUCUGAAGCUACCCUUAGUUAAAAAUCGGUGUUGGUGUCUGGUGAUAUUGAUAUGAGUACUGCAAACUCUCUUGCCUUUAUUUAUUUUUUUCUGGAUAUUUCGCUUAAUGCGUGUCUGAAUUAUUGUUUCUGCUUCCGUGGUAUUUAUUAUAUGAUCAUCUAUGAGAUAUGUGCAAGUUUUGGUUCCAGAUAGUGUCCUAUGGGGAUUGUCCAAUCGGUUUUGGGUAUCGGACAUAUUAACACCGACUUUCUUAGGUUUGUUACGGUUUCAGGAAGUACCGCUCGUGGAACCAUCCAUACAAGCAUCGGAUUCUACCCCGGGUGUGAUCCCACAAAGUUUGGUGUUACAUUUUUUUUUUCUCUGUGUCUCGGAAGGAAUAUAUCAAAAUAAAAUGUAAGUUUUCACAGAAAAAACGGUAUAUUAUUUUCAUCAUAUUGUGCGUAUUUUUGGCUUUGGUGAAGGUUAUUAGUCCAGAAAGGACAAAGCCCAUUUGGGUUGGUUUUGGACACGAAAGGGAUUGUGCAGCAUUGGCAAAUAGUGGUUAACGUUCGUCUAUCUGGUCUGGUGUUCCUUGUGAGGACCGUAGUUGGGCCCAAAUAUCAUAAAGAAACACACGAAACACUCUCCGUUUUUGGUUUUGAUCCCAGACAGACAAGAACACUCUCUCAUGUAUGGCAAAUGCCCUCCCUCUUUAAAUCAAAUAACGGACAGGAAGCAGUUGCGGCCCUGGGUAUAAGCAUUAGAAACAUCUGAUUCCGGCCGUUGAUAAUUAACAAAAUUUUCAGCCUAUUUAUAAAAUAUGCCAGUAGGUUAGAUGAUCAAACUAGCUAACAAAUCCCUCCAUAAUAAAAUUUUGGGUUUCUAGUCUUUGUUUUUGUAGAGCUUUUUACUGCUGGGCCUGAGUAGAAAUCAAGAAACAUAAAUAGAUAGAAAUGUGAGAUGUCCAGGACUUUAUGCCUGCUCUCUCUCUCUCUCUUUCUCGAGUCACUCUCAAAAUCUGGUUCGGGUUAGGUUAUAGACAUUUUAUGUGGAACUCAAAAACUGAGAUAGGAUCAAUACUUUUAAAAAUCUAUGCAUUUCUUAUUUUCCAAAACCCAAACAAACAAACCAAACGAAUAUUUUAAUUUUACUGAAAGUAUUAUUUGUAUUUAAUUUUAAAAUAAUUAUAUAUAAAUAUAGUUUAUAAUUAAAACAAGUACAUUUAUAUAUUUUUUUCAGCUACUAGCCAAUUCUCGAUAUUUUUAGCAAAAUCGAACUGAAUUCUGUAGAAACCCUGUCUAAACCUGAAAGCACCGACAGUGCCGGCUCAAUAGGGAGUGCGGCCGGUGCGACCGCCCCGGGUCCGGUUCAAAUCUUACAAUAUUAGGGGCCCUAAUUAUUUAAUUAGCAUAUCUGAUUUAGAUUUAAACAGUAUUAAAACGAUGUAUCACAAUUUUUUCUAGUUAAAUUAUCAAAGAGAAUAUACAUGUUUGAUGCUCGAGUCGAAAUUUCAGGAAAUUUUUUUACCAACGUUAAAAAAUUAACUUACUAUAGGGGCUUUAAAAUUCUUUUUGCCCAAGGGCCCUUCUAUAUAUUAAGCCGGCCCUGAGCACCGAAAACCAUAAACUCGAACUGGAACCAAACUAUAAUGCCCUCUGCCUAAAUCAAACACUGAAAAUCUGAAACUUUGUAACCCAUUUGCUACUUGUGUUACAGGCUUCACGGUACACAGAUAUAUCCUAUUGAUUAAAUAGUGGGCUUUAAGACAAGGCCUUUCCAGUUUUUGUGGGCCGAAACUGAAAAUAAAAUGCUACACUUGCCCACCAGCGAACGUGAACAUCAGAGUCACAGAUAACAACACUUGAGAGAGUUAUCAGAAAGAGUUCCCUAUCGACACUCUCUCUCUCUCUCUCUUCCUCUCAGCAUCAUCAUCACCACCAAAUCGCCGCCAUGUUCAGACAAGCUUCUCGCCUCGUCUCCCGAUCUAUCACCGCCAAAUCGGCGACAAACCGUGCGUUUUCAACGGAAGUCCCGUCGACGAUCGAUUCGAGUUUCGUGGAGGCAUGGAAGAAAGUCGCACCGAACAUGGACCCGCCGCAGACUCCUUCUUCCUUCAUGAAGCCUCGUCCAUCGAC